AACGAUCCCUAUCCUAAAAGGAUUUAUUCUCAUCCCUUUUCACCAGAUGUCCAGCUGCCACUGCAUGUGUCCCUCUGUGCUGCUAUCUCAUCUGGAGAGCAGCAGCAAAGGGAUGCAGAGUGGCCAUUCCUUCACCAUGUAAAACCUUCUCUGGUCAUAGGGAGGGGACGGAAGCGGGCUCACAGCUGCCUCUCUACUAUUGUUAGCUCAAUCACAAGCACAGCCACAAAGAAGAUGGAACAAAGCCUGCUCCAGUCCGUCUGCCUGUGGCUCCUGAAUGCCGUUCAUACCACCUUUAUUACUUGGAAGAAACUCAUCCAGGAAACCCAGGCCACCCAGCCACAUGCCCACCACAGGCAUCACACACCAGGUACCUCCAUGGGGCCACGCACACUGCUCGCUCAGGAGAAGGAAGGGCUCACUUUGCCCUGAAGUCACCCUGCUGGGCUUCCUCUCACAGAAACACCUCUUUGUGUUUCCCGGAUGAGGUAAAAAGUAUCUUUCUGUUCCUCAGAUAGUAGACAGGAUAAAUUGGUCCUGGGAUAAACAUCUGUCUGUCUGCCUGUAUGUCCAGUCUUUAUAUGCUGAUUUUCCUGUAAACGUAUGUAAAGACAUAGAGGGCUUCUGCAUCCAUCCAGGUUGCUCUGACCAUCCCGUAAAAUAAGAUCAUAAAUACAUCAAUAUUAAAUUGGAAUGCAUGCACUGGCAGUCUAAGAAGAAUGCUUCCCAGACUUGUAGAUUCAGCAGUUGCUGUGAAAAUACGAGUUCUGCUCAGGGCUGCUUCUGUGAAUCAUUGUGAUGAUCACUCGAAAAUCAUUUAAAGUGAAACACCAUUUUUAAAAGAGCGAAGCCUUUUGUACAGGGUGUAUGAAUGCCUGAAAUGACAAAACCGACAUUUCAUCUGUCUUUGCUCUAACAACACUAAACUGAAGGCUCCCAGGGAAAGGCCCCAGUGAGAAAACCCAGAGAGCAGCUGCUCCCAGCCCCAGGAGGAAGUACUGUGUGAUGCUGCUCCAAAGUGCUGCCCCAAGGAGACUACAUGGGUUCACACAGCUCAUCCCAAAUAUCCUAUCCAUAGCAAAGGCACUCAGCCAGUGGAAAGACACUUGCAGCCAGUGCUGUUUCUGAAGGGUGAGCUUUCCUCCUUGGGUUAAAAUUGAAGCCAGGGAGUGAUCCUCUUCAACCAAGGUGCUUGCUGUCUGUUAUCCAUACGGUGUUCUUGGAGGCAGAAAGAGGGCAGCUACAGCUUUAAUUAGCUAAAAGGUUUUGAGCAGGACAUAAAUCUCAUCCCAGGACUUCUUAUUUUCCAGUUGUUAAGCCUUGCACUCUUUCACACAGACAUCCUCAUGCUUUUG
This 1355-nucleotide long non-coding RNA is filed under the name Chrysolophus pictus (golden pheasant). RNAcentral describes it as "lncRNA (ENSCPIG00010010221.1)". Lineage: Eukaryota; Metazoa; Chordata; Aves; Galliformes; Phasianidae. The record is from RNAcentral.